RNAcentral lists this transfer RNA (24 nucleotides) under Tetraclita rubescens. Its description in RNAcentral is "partial tRNA-Met". Lineage: Eukaryota; Metazoa; Arthropoda; Thecostraca; Balanomorpha; Tetraclitidae. The record is from RNAcentral.
UUAAAAAAGAWAAGCUAAAUUUAA